Molecule: ribosomal RNA, 443 nt
Filed under: uncultured bacterium
Lineage: Bacteria
Description: partial 16S ribosomal RNA
Rfam family: Bacterial small subunit ribosomal RNA
Source: RNAcentral
CCUACGGGGGGCAGCAGUGGGGAAUAUUGGGCAAUGGAGGCAACUCUGACCCAGCAAUGCCGCGUGAGUGAUGAAGGUAAUUUUAUUGUAAAGCUCUUUUCUUUGGAACGAAUAAAUGACGGUACCAAAGGAAUAAGCCCCGGCUAACUACGUGCCAGCAGCCGCGGUAAUACGUAGGGGGCAAGCGUUGUUCGGAAUGACUGGGCGUAAAGGGUGUGUAGGUGGUUUGAUAAGUUAGAUGUGUAAUACCCAGGGCUUAACUCGGGUGCUGCAUCUAAAACUGUUAUUCUAGAGUAUGGGAGAGGUAGGUGGAAUUCUUGGUGUAGGGGUAAAAUCCGUAGAGAUCAAGAGGAAUACUCAUUGCGAAGGCGACCUGCUAGAACAUAACUGACGCUGAUGCGCGAAAGCGUGGGGAGCAAACAGGAUUAGAUACCCGGGUAGUC